RNAcentral lists this ribosomal RNA (163 nucleotides) under Leucaena salvadorensis. RNAcentral's name for it is "5.8S ribosomal RNA". The stretch from base 1 to 107 matches the Rfam family "5.8S ribosomal RNA", at positions 50 to 154 of the family's 154-position model. From Rfam's summary of the family: 5.8S ribosomal RNA (5.8S rRNA) is a component of the large subunit of the eukaryotic ribosome. The record is from RNAcentral. Lineage: Eukaryota; Viridiplantae; Streptophyta; Magnoliopsida; Fabales; Fabaceae.
UAAAUGCGAUACUUGGUGUGAAUUGCAGAAUCCCAUGAACCAUCGAGUCUUUGAACACAAGUUGAGCCCGAGGCUAUUAGGCUGAGGGCACGUAUGCCUGGGUGUCACGUAACUCGCCACCGCCCCUCCCCGGGGCGCGGUAGAGGAUGGCUUCCUGGGAGCC